GGGCGUGCUAACACAUGCAAGUCGAGCGAGAAAGGGGGGGCAACUCCCUGAGUAAGCGGUGCACGGGUGAGUAACACGUGGGUAAUCUACCCUGGAGUGGGGAAUAACACCGGGAAACCGGUGCUAAUACCGCAUACGAUCACGAUAUCUGCGGAUGACGUGAUGAAAGGAGCAAUUCGCUCCAGGAGGAGCCCGCGGUGAUUAGCUAGUUGGUGAGGUAAUGGCUCACCAAGGCUACGAUCAGUAUCCGGUCUGAGAGGACGGUCGGACACACUGGAACUGAGACACGGUCCAGACUCCUACGGGAGGCAGCAGUGGGGAAUUUUUCGCAAUGGGGGCAACCCUGACGAAGCAACGCCGCGUGGAUGAUGAAGUAUCUCGGUACGUAAAAUCCUUUCGACAGGGAAGAAACCGCAAGGUUGACGGUACCUGUAGAAGAAGCCCCGGCUAACUCCGUGCCAGCAGCCGCGGUAAUACGGGGGGGGCAAGCGUUGUUCGGAAUUACUGGGCGUAAAGGGCGCGUAGGCGGUUCGCUAAGUUGGAUGUGAAAACUCUGGGCUUAACCCAGAGCCUGCAUUCAAUACUGACGAGCUAGAGUUCUGGACGGGGAUAGCGGAAUUCCUGGUGUACGGUGACAUGCGUAGAUAUCAGGAGGACCCACAGGUGGCGAAGGCGGUAUCUGGACACGAGUCUGACGCUGAGGCGCGAAA
RNAcentral lists this ribosomal RNA (710 nucleotides) under uncultured bacterium. RNAcentral's name for it is "bacterial SSU rRNA". It matches the Rfam family "Bacterial small subunit ribosomal RNA", at positions 40 to 758 of the family's 1533-position model. The record is from RNAcentral.